CAUGCAUGUGGAGAGCAGAGAAUUCACUGCAGUCAGUUUUCGCCUUCUUCCAUGUGAGGCCCAGGAAAGAAGAUGUCCCUGGAAGAAUGGGGCCAUGGGGGGAAGAUAGGAGGCUACCUCAUGGGAAAGGAAACAAUUGCAGGACAAAAGUCCAGAGGUGGGCUAUGCCUGUCACCACCCAGGAGAGUCUGAAAGUUGCCCCUGUGGCCAGAGUCAAAGAGCAGCCAGACAGGAUGCUGAGAACAGGGUGGGGGCCAGCUCAGGGCUGCCUGGCAGGCCAGGUCAGGAAGUAAGGCUGCAUCCUAACUACAUUACCAUCUCACAGAUAAGAAACCAAACGCUGGGGAAAGUCACCGGGCCUAGGUAUGAAGGAGGAAAUCUAAACACGGGGCCUUUUAAAUAUGUAUGUAUUCCACCAUUUUUAAUCACUCUCGAGCACGCGUGUGUGCGUUUUGUGUGUGUGUGUGUGUGUGUGUGUGUGUUUGCAGGUGCACAUGUGUGCACAUUUUUGUUUUUUUGUUUUGUUUUGUUUUUCGCUGCUCACCAAGUAGUCUAAGCUGGCUUGCCAGUGAACCUCUGGAAACCCCAGUCUUCAUCUUCCUGGAAUUCAGGGUACAGAUACACCACCACCCCUAGCUUUUUAUAUGUGAGUUCUAGAGCUCCAACUUAGAUUCACUUCAGCAACCAGCAUCCCUGCAUACCAAACGGUUUAACCUUGUUUCCCUCCUGACGUAUUCUGGGCUGGCCCUCCCCCUCGUCCCUUACACAGUCCUCGCACAGUCCUCUACCUAGUGAUCUGUGUCAGACCACCAGCUCUGCGUUCCACCUCCGCUGAGAGAGCUGGUCACCUGCAUUCCUAGACAAUUGCUGGCCACAUCCUCUUCCAAACAUCAAGAUAUACGGCCUCCAUAAAUUUCCAGAGACACAUUAACGUUCACCUCCAUAAUGCCUUAAUUGUCCAGAAACCAUUAAGGUGACAAAGGGACAGAUGUAAGCGGGGAGGGAGGAGAGCGAGACGCCUAAAUUAAAGGUGAACGGUCCAGGACAGCCGCUCCCAGGGGGUGAGGGAGAUCUGUGGGCUUUCCAGGUCCCCACAAGAAUCGACUGACCCAUGAAUUAUCUCAGUGCGACGCUCUUGAGUCAAGGGGAACUUUUUUAAAGUGGGAUUUUUGCAAAAGGUUAAAUGGAAAUGAAAACUGAACAAUUAUUUUUGUCCUCCUGCCUGGCAGGGCUCCCGCUAAUGUUUGUGCACAGAGAUGAUAACGGCAGGAUUCUUCAAAGCCUGUUCAGGGACAAUCAUAUCACGGGCGAAAAAGGAUUUGAUUUUGUUUAAAAAAAAAAAAAAAGUGUACAUUUGUAAGUGAUCUUGAAAGUAAAAAGACAAGAUGGCAUGAGCUAAGUGCUUUAUUUUCCCCAGUGCUGGUGGGGUUCCACAGCUCCUCAUUGUGCCCAUAAUUGGGGUUUUUUUAAGUGGGAAUGAAGAGAAGUGUUUUCUUUGUCUGUGAAGAUGGCAUUGCUGACCCCCCCAGCCCCCAACCGGGAAUUCUGUUUCUGGGAAACAAGAGGCGUUUGCUCCUGCUGGGCCUCCGCAUUUGGAGACCACUCUAAGCAUAGCACACUGGUUCCGACCUUGUGUUUCCCUUCAUCAGUCUCAGGGUUACUAACUUCCUAGAGAGGAAGAGGUUGAAGACACCCCAGAAAUCAUUGUAAUACCUUCUGGGGCUCUGGAGAUGGCUCAGUCGGGAGGUAAGGGAUUAAUUCACCUGUGCUAGGCCAAGUGUGAGGAAGUGAAGACAGGGGUUUGAGCUCCUAAAAUCCAUGUUUUAAAAAUCCUGGGAGCAGGUGAGACGGAUGGAAUUCCAGCACUGAGGAGGUAGAAACAGGAGUAGCGGAAACUGGCCGGGAGCCAGCCUAGCCAAAGAAGUUGGUUACAAGGUUCAAUGAGAAACACUGUUUCCAAAUAAAAGGGAGAUUGAAAAGCCACCAGACACAAACUUCUAACCUGCACGGGUAUGAUCAACCCCUACCCUAGUGCAUGUACAGACAGACAUGGGGGAGGGGGGGAUCUCCUGGCCUGCGAGUCAGGGGGAAACUUCCCUGCGAGCCAUCAUAUAAGUAGAGUUAUUGUAGACUGAACAUCAACAGUACCGAAACCCCAAACCUGAAAGCCUCCCAGCUCUGAAACUUUUAAGCACCAAGGUGAGACCAGGAGUGAAAAACUCGGUACUAGAAAACCUUAUUUCAUUCAGAAAACUCCUUAAAAUGUUGUACAAUGGCACCUUCAGGUUAGGUCUGAGAUAUAUAUGAGACAUAAAUGAAUUCUGUACUUAGACUUGGUUCCCAUCCCUAAGAUAACUCUCACACACAGGCGUGACAGGAAAACCCUCCUCAGAAGGAAGAUGCAGCCCUCCUGGCCCUGAGCUUCUGCAAUGACUUGAGCGCAACCUGGUUUUCCCUCCUUAGCCGGUGUUAUUUCAACGUGUCUCCCGUGUGGCCACAGCCUAGGUGUUAGCUCCAUUUGAGAGCUCCUAAUUGCAUUUUGUAAAACAAGAAAGAGCAAAUCCCAGAAGCUUCCAAGGGAGUCCAUUUCAUAUUUCAUUGCCCAAAAUGUUGCUGCUGUUUAUGCCUGAAAGAAAUCAAUAGGAAAUUCCCAGACACCGAACGAGACGGUCCAGACCCAGCUUGUGCUUGAUGGAGCAGGUUUCUCUCCACCAUAUGCCCAGGGAAGGGGUGCUUGGAUAGUGCCAGUGACUCCCAGAAGAAAGGUGUUCAUCAAACGCUCUGUGAAAAUUAAAACUUUGAGUGGAGCUUAUGGCUGAAAGCAUUGGACAAACAGAUAUUUUUCUCAUGUGUCCUUGAUGAAGUUCUGGUUACAAAGGUUGGUUUGUUUUGAUUGGUCCUAGUAAUCGCCUGUCACCUCCCCCCCCCACACACACACCCCUGCCUCCUUUCCUGCCCUUUAGAGUAGCUUCCCCACUUCUUGAGGACUCCAAAGAGUCCACUAGCCCAAGUGCUUAGAUGGUGCUAACCUACUCAAAGAAACACGGAGACUCCUGACCCAAGUCUUACCUCUCAGCAAAGAUGGAUCCAACAAGAGUUAAUACGAAGUAACUAUGGGUUGGGACAGCAUUCAUACCUGCUAGAAUUCCCAGGACCAGGGGACGCUGUAAUGUAAUCCAGCAAAGCAUUCACUGGAUUUGGGAGAGAGGCGGGGCUUGAGAAAAGAGUCAUACCGGAAGGGAAAACGGGAAACAGAGAAAAACUGAGUUCUGGACCGAAGCAGUGGGUUCUGCUCCAGACUCACUCACUAGAAUUGGAAGGGUCAUGCUUAGCUGUGACCUUUUAGACCUCAGAAUCUCACUCAGUCCUGUGUUCUCAGAAGUCAGUGUGAACAGCCGCCUGCAAACAAAGAGUGCCUGUCAGGUUUACCCGAGCUGUGCCGUGAUCUUCAUACUUCCUAACACCCAGCAGAAUGUCACCCAGCCUUCCUGUGUCAUGAGAAUGCCCUUCACACAGAGUGGCUUUCUUUCAAAUAUCUGACAAUUAAGAAUAUACAUGGCAGAAGGCUUCUCUUGGGGCUGGAGGGACAGGUUCAGAGGUUAAGAGAACCGGCUGAUCUCACAGAGGGCCAGAGACCAGUUCCCAGCACCCACAUGGCGGCUUACAAUCAUCCGUAACUCCAGUUCCAGGGAUCCAACACACUCUUCUGGCUUCCACAGGCACCACACACAUGGAGUGCAAACAUACACGCGAGCGAAACGCCCACUCAUAGGCACAAAAUUUGAACCUUCAAAAUAAGCUCCAUCUGUGUGGGAUCGGCUCUCAUGACCCAAACACAAGUCACGUGGCCAACCCUGUAGCCAAUGGAAGUGGUGCGCAUUCAGCCCGUGUGGGAAGCGCUGCACUGACAAGCAGGGAGAGCUGAGGAAGAGCUUCCUCCUUCCGCUAGGGAAGUGCUCCUUCCGCAUCAUUUUACUGCUUCACCUCCACAGCCCGGUACAGGACAGAGCUGCUUCGUAAGGGUGUGCUCAGCAUCUGAAUUCCAACCAAUACAGUCCCCAUGAACUUUUGUAACCCAAUCCAUUUCAGAGACAGGAACUGCCCGUAAUGGGAGGCUGCGUGAAAUAUGUCCCCCGGAAAGGUAAUGCACAGGUGCUAGACACUAAAUCAGCCACCACAGCGUCUUCAAUGGAUUACAGGAGAGAUGGCUUUGACGAAUGCCUUCGCCUUGCCACGAUUAUGAUUUCUUAUUCAUCUUGUGGGUUUUUAAACAGAACCUUGUACUUAGUAUUCAAAUUAAUGACUCCAAUGUAUUUGCCUGGAUUUUCCUUUUAAAAAAGAAUCAUUCCG
Molecule: long non-coding RNA, 4350 nt
Organism: Rattus norvegicus (Norway rat)
Lineage: Eukaryota; Metazoa; Chordata; Mammalia; Rodentia; Muridae
Source: RefSeq, a predicted model, not a curated record